UGGCCGUAAACGAUGUGGACUUGGUGUUGGAAUGGCUUCGAGUUGUUCCAGUGCCGAAGGGAAGCUGUUAAGUCCACCGCCUGGGAAGUACGGUCGCAAGACUGAAACUUAAAGGAAUUGGCGGGGGAGCAUCACAACGCGUGGAGCCUGCGGUUUAAUUGGACUCAACGCCGGGAAGCUCACCGGAUAAGACAGCGGAAUGAUUGCCGGGCUGAAGACUCUGCAUGACUAGCUGAGAGGUGGUGCAUGGCGUAGACGUCU
This 261-nucleotide ribosomal RNA is filed under the name uncultured archaeon. RNAcentral's name for it is "partial 16S ribosomal RNA". It matches the Rfam family "Archaeal small subunit ribosomal RNA", at positions 748 to 1009 of the family's 1478-position model. The record is from RNAcentral.